UGAUUACCUGCUCUGGAGGGAGCUGGCUGCUAUGUCAUGAAAACACUUAAGCAUCCCAGUGGAAGAGGCCAUGCUUGAGGAACCAAGGCUCCUGCCAUAGCCAUAGCACUUAACGAAAUGUAUAACUACAAGUCGAUUGGAAUGGUUAUUUUUGAGGGUGUUCAAUGGCCACUGUUUGCUCAAGGAGAAUGUAAACAGGACUUGCUGACGCCUGCGGUCAAUGGGCCUGCCUCCUAAGCCAUUUCCAAUCUGGCAUGAGUGUGGAUAUAAUGGGAAAGAAGCUGAACAGGGAAGAAGGGCAGGUAACUCUAUUUUGUGUUUCCAAUGUAUUUUCUAUUUCAAUACUCAAAGCAAUCCUUUCUGAGGUAGGUGUUAUUUUGAUACCCAUUCUACAAAUCCAAAAACCAUGUGGUAAGUAACAGGACUAAAACCCUGGUAGGUUGAGCUCCAUAGCUUUCCACUACCCUAAGCUUACUCUUUGCGGUAAGACCUUUUGCUUAGGCAAAUAUUGGUUAUUCAAACAAGACCAAAGGCAAAAUUCGUACGCAAGUUCAAGUUCUCAAGUAUCAAUAUUCUUC
This is a non-coding RNA of Macaca mulatta (Rhesus monkey), 578 nucleotides long. The record is from RefSeq and is a predicted model, not a curated record. Lineage: Eukaryota; Metazoa; Chordata; Mammalia; Primates; Cercopithecidae.